GAAGGGGUAGGGGUGGGAGGCAGAGAAAGAAUCCAUGCCCUCAAACUACAACUUUGUAGAUAAAUCUCGUUGAGCAACCUGGAGCAUACACAAGUUAAAUGGUUUUGCCCAGCCUCUCACAACCAAGAAGUACCAGGGACAGUCUUUGAAUCCAGGUCUUCCUGACUUCAAGUCCAAUAUGAUAUCCCCUACACCAUGAUGUGAGGGAGUGUUGCUGCUGUCUUGGAGCCUGGACUCAGAACUUAACUCCUGGGAUAGGAGAGUAUGCAAAGCCUUCUUCUGAUUGAUAAAGAUCCAAAAGGCAUAGGGCCAGAAACACAAAUUCCUCAACCCUGGAAGACCUCUAGGAAAGAUCUCUAGGGCACCCCUGAGCAUGUUGGAGAUUCAGCUUACUAAGUGAUCAGCAAGAGACCUCCCUCAAAGAAGAUCCUGUCUGCUACCACCCACUUCCAAGGGCCUAAUUCAAACCCAAGAGAGAUUCUCUACCCCAGCAGGACAUGGCCCAUUUGCUCUCUGGCAAUGGAAUCUACCCCUCAGGCUGGUGUGAAGUUCCAACCACAUUUCUCCUACUAACAACAAAAGAAAAAGAAAGAAAAGAAGAUCAGUAGGUUUGGACAUAAAGCUAAAGGAAGAAUGUUUGUGCCUAAGCAAUCUGGGAGCUCAAUCUGAAAGCCAUCCCCAGCUUCCUGAGCUCUGGACACCCCCUCCCCAGUUAUAAAACCUCCCCAGCUUUUGCCACUGCUACCCUACACCCCAGGGAUCAUCCUCAAGCUCCCAGUCUUCCAGUCCCAGGGGGGAUUUAAGCUGGAAGGAACCUAUCAUUCCACCAAACAGUAGCACUGGGAGGGAGCAGGCUAUUUUGGUGUUUGUUCAGGCCAAUGACAGGGUUUCUAUUGCCAUCUAAUGUCUGGUGGGUAAGCUCUUGCACCAACCCCCACUACUUUUCUCCUCCUUCCCCCUCCCUUUUUAAUUCUAGGGAAAAUCAGGAAGUGAACAGUUGUCUCCCUCACUGGUCUAUAUUCAUGUAAUUAGUGCUAUUUAAUUCCAAGAUGAGCCAAGACUCAUAAGAUACAAAACAUAUUUCAGCUGCAUUCCUCCAAUCUUGGCAGGAGCCUCUGCUCCAGCCGGAAGCAGAAACCAGUUACAUUCGCUCCUAAAUUUAAAAAAAAAUUUUUUUAAUCUGUAUAAAGUUUCAUGGCAGGCAGGCACUCCUUCCUGAAAGGUUCCAGGGAAGAAAGUCUAAGAACUAAGCAGCUGACAUAUUUGUGGUCCUUAGAAAGAAUUCUUCACUCCAGUGGACUUUUUUUUCCCAAAGCAUCCAUUAUCAAAUGACAGACAGCCUGCACAGCUUAGGUUGAUGGAGAAAGGACUGACUGGUCAUAGAGUCAAGAAGACCUGAGUUUAAAUUCUACCUGUGAUUCAUAUUAGCAAUGUAAAACUGGGCAAGUCCAUUAACCAUUAAGUUAACUCCCAGACAACUCUCAAAGUCCCUAAGUUUUAAACCAUUAUCAACCCUGAGGUGAGGGAGGAGGUCAUCAUUUCUACACAGUGAUUUCUCUACACCAAUGAAAAAUCAAGCCUAGAAAAAAGUAAUUCAUUACCCAGGAAAUUAAAAAUAUAUAUAUGUACCUAUGACAGGCAGUGUGGAGGGGUAGAAGAUUUGUCUCAGAAUUAGGGAAACCUGAAUUCAAAUCCUGCCUCUGACAGAACUGCCUGGGCAAAUCAUUUAACUUUUCAGUGACCCAAAUAACAUUCCUCUAAGAUGAUAAGUAGAAGAGCAGGGGCCCAGGUACCCAUCCGCAUUGGUAAAGAGAUUUUUCUCUUGCGACCAGUGAAAUCACAUGUCAGCUUCCAAAAAGAUAACAUGUCAUCCUCCAUAAAAUGAAUUCUCCUGAUCUCUUUCCUCCUACUGCCACAUGUUAGGUAUUCACUUUGGGCUUCAUUUCCAGGAAUACAGAAAAGUUGAAGCCAAAUAAAUAAACCCUUUCUCUCUUUAUUGCCUCUAGGACACAUACACUUGAGUGACUAGGGUACAAUCUAAGGUCAUACUUCAAUUUGUCUGAUACUUCUCCCUCCCCCUUCCCACCUCAAGUGUCCCUCACAUUUUCUUUAUUUGUCUUCACAACAUCCUUAAAAAAAUCAAGAGACAUGAAUUAAUACCCCCCAUUUCAAAGAUGUGUAAACCGAGGCCAACAGAUUGAGAGAA
Phascolarctos cinereus (koala) is the source of this 2206-nucleotide non-coding RNA. The record is from RefSeq and is a predicted model, not a curated record. Lineage: Eukaryota; Metazoa; Chordata; Mammalia; Diprotodontia; Phascolarctidae.